GUGUCUUAUGAAAGGAGAAAAGUUAGUAUUCCCCUGGACAAAGAUGGAAGAGGCCCUUGAGUCUGACAAUAUGCAUAUGGUUAAGGCAUUGCACCUACUUUAUGGCAUCUAACCAUUGCUUUCC
Molecule: small nuclear RNA, 124 nt
Organism: Dipodomys ordii (Ord's kangaroo rat)
Lineage: Eukaryota; Metazoa; Chordata; Mammalia; Rodentia; Heteromyidae
Source: Ensembl